GUUUUAGUGGUUUAAAUAAAAUAUUGAUCUUGUAAAUCAAAGUUGGGAUAUCCCCUAAAGCU
Molecule: transfer RNA, 62 nt
Filed under: Antrokoreana gracilipes
Lineage: Eukaryota; Metazoa; Arthropoda; Diplopoda; Julida; Nemasomatidae
Description: tRNA-Thr
Source: RNAcentral